GAUGGCAGAAUAUCUUGAGCCGGCCUACUCUCUAUGAAAUUAUAGAAGGGAUGCGAAUUUAGUUCAACUCUGGAACAAAAUUGUUAGGCCACUAAGAACCUUGAAACCCAUUUUUAAAAAUUUCUCCUCUCAAUCAAAAAUGAUUUCAGUGUUAGAGUUCUUCAGCAGAUCCGGGUACAUAUUCGUAGUGUGUAUUGCUAGCGGAGAUGAUGUUAUAUACCAUACGUGCAACAAAUCAGUUCAAGGCUCUCAUGUAUAUUUCUGUUCUAGACACAAUGAUCUUCGAAGUUUCUAUCUGCACAAGUCAAGUUGUGCAGAAUUGCCCAUGUCUGUUUAUCUACAUGAGCAUUCAUUAAGUUUACAAGAGGAUUUUAUUUUGGGAGAGAAUGCUGCUUGCAAUAUUUGUAAAAAACGAGUCCUAGGCUCUCCUACAUAUACCUGUGUUGAUUGUCAAAAUUUCUACUUGCAUAAGAGUUGUGCAGAAUUCCCACAGCAAAUAAACCACCAUAAACACACCAGCCAUCCUCUUUCUCUCUUUCCACGCUCUGCAGAUGGUUGCACCUGUGAUAUAUGUGGUCGUGAUAUAAAGGUCUCUUAUGCAUGUGUUGAUUGUGACUUUGAUGUGUGUGUGUUUUGUGCUUUGGAACCGAGGGUGCUUCAUCAUCAAGGACACAAGGAGCACGCGCUGACAUUAAUGAACAAGGAAUCCCUUUUUGAGUGUGAUGCCUGUCAGGAGGAAGCGAAAGACUCUUCGUACGUAUGCACAACCUGUGAGUUCUGGAUCCACAAGAGUUGUGCCUAUUCCCCCUUGAUUAUUCCAUCGCCUACUUAUCACAAUCACCCUCUAGCUCUAGUCUACUCUGUUCCUGACAUUCAUCUCUUCUUUUCCCAAUACUGUGGUAUCUGCCGCAGAUAUGUUUGCCCCAGCUACUGGGUGUAUUAUUGCCACAAGUGCACAUAUUUUGUGCACAUGAAAUGUUCUACAUCCACAAUAUCUAUGGUAACUGAAAUUGAAGCAGAUGAUGACGUCGAUAAUCAACCUGAUCUGGUACUGUUUCCUCUGCCUAGCCAGGAAUCAAUAUUUGACCUCCUUGUGACUCGGUGUUGCGAGUCCGAAGACAACUUUAAAGGUAAAGGUGAAAUCAUGUCAAUAACAUCUAGUGAUCCACACGUUAUUGAAAAACAUUGGAGUCACGAGAUCCAUCCAUUACAACAGCUCCAGUUUACUAUCUAUGAGGAUGAUAGCGACGACAGUGAUGAUGAUAGGAGAGGGCUGAUAUGCAAUGGCUGUGUUCAACCUAUAACCGUUUCCUAUCCCUCUUACUACGCUUGUAUCCAGUGCGGCUUCUUUCUCCAUUCCCUCUGUGCAACUAAGUUGCCACAAAAUUUGCCUGUAGGAGCAUUGCAUGUUCACCCCGAACAUUCUCUCUUACUUCAGAUGAAGGAUAAAUUUUAUGAUAUUGUGAGUUGUGGUGUUUGCAAAUAUUCGACAAAUGGAUUCUACUAUCACUGUCAGGAUUGUGAUAUCUGUGUUGACAUCCGUUGUGCAUUCUUACCGGCCAGAAUAAAAUACAAAUCUCACAAGCAUCACUCCCUUGUUCAGCGGCCAUCUUCGAAUUCAACCUGCAGUGUAACCAGGUAUAAAAAUAAAGUUGGGAUGGAAUAUGCCUGUGAAACCUGCAGUAAUUUCCAGAUCCAUAUAUCUUGUGCAAUUGUACCAAGUAAGAUGGAACACAAAUAUGAUGUUCACCCCUUAACCUUGAAAAUUCCACCAUUCUUCUUCGAGGGAGCAUUCUACUGUGAAAUCUGUGAAGAACGAGUUAACAACCAGGAGUUGCUCUACCAUUGCAGAGAAUCUGAACAUUCUUAUCACUAUUAUUGCGGGUUUUUGGUCAGCAAUAUCAAGUUAGGAGGGACCAUUAAAGUUUUUAUUCAAGGUAAACCACACACACUUGCAUUAGUUUCGAAGAGGCCUACAAGAAAGAAGUCUACAUACACUUGUUCCCUCUGCUCAGGUUUUUACUAUAACCUCUGUUUUAUUCUCGAAUGUGAUGGUUGUGGAUUUCUGGCAUGCUUGAAAUGUGCCCAAAAACUCUCACGCGAGUCGGGACAGAUUGCACUUUUAUAAAAAUCAGAUGUUUUGGGAUCUCCAUUGCACGCAUAUAUUAAACAAUUAGGGUUAAAAAUGGGGCGAGUUCGGUGCCGGAACUUCACUUUCAGACUUCAACAGGAGUUACUAUUGCCGGAACUACCAUCAAAACUGGUGAUGAUUGUGUGUCAAUUGGUCCUGCUACUAGAAAUAUGUGGACACGGUAUCAGCAUUGGAAGUUUAGGAAAAGAUGCGAAUGAAGAUGGUGUGCAGAAUAUCACAUUGAUAAACUCCGCAUUUAAUUCAAUCAUGGCUUGCGAAUUCAAUCAUGGUUAGGCCUACCAAUUCCUUUGUUAGAAAUGUUGUUUAUCAAAAUAUUCGAUGAGAAAUAAAGGGCUUUACGAUUAAAUCAUGGGCUAGGACUACUAAUUCCUUUUUCAGCUCCGGAAAAUAUAUAUGAAAAAGUAUUUAAACUGUGCAAAGACUGUUAACUUUAACGGUCAACUUAAUGGAAGAUGAUAAAAGAGGUGUAGAUCAAAGUGCUUUUCAAACAGUUGGGUGCGUAUUGGAAAAAUAAUAUUAUUUUAUUUAAAACUAAAUCAAAAAAUGCGCUUAAACUUAUGGGUGAAAAGCGUAAAUUAUUCAGUAAAUUAUCAGAAA
RNA transcript from Daucus carota subsp. sativus, 2749 nucleotides. RefSeq lists it as uncharacterized. NCBI's taxonomy places the organism in Eukaryota, Viridiplantae, Streptophyta, Magnoliopsida, Apiales, Apiaceae. The transcript is spliced from 3 exons. The record is from RefSeq and is a predicted model, not a curated record.